This 251-nucleotide long non-coding RNA is filed under the name Urocitellus parryii (Arctic ground squirrel). Its description in RNAcentral is "lncRNA (ENSUPAG00010000978.1)". The record is from RNAcentral. Lineage: Eukaryota; Metazoa; Chordata; Mammalia; Rodentia; Sciuridae.
GGUGACGAGGAAGGACCCAGUGGUGCCAGUGAAGAAGAGGACACAUGAAGGCUUGCCAUCAGAGUGGAAAACCACCCCUUCCCUUGCAGAAAUCUUUGGGGAGAAGUCAUCAAGGGAUGCAGAUAACGGAUGUCUCCAGAAUGAAUCAGGUACUCACAGCAGUUCCUGGCUGCCUUCCAAAUGUUGGGUUUCUGGAUGCAGAGAGGGAUUUGUCCUUUGAUUUGGUAUCAUUAAAUCCAGGACAAUCCUAA